ACCAGCAGCAGCAGAUGCAUAGAUCUGACCACGGAGGAGCCGCAGGCCGGGCCCAAAGCCUUCAACGCAGAGCUCAGCGACGGGAAGCUGCCACGCUGCGGAAGUCCCAGGAAACAGCCUCAGAGUCUCAGACCAUCCGCAGAGCCGGCCCGGGGGGCCAAAGGAAGCACAGAGCGGCCGGCGGACCCCAGCGUGGCCGCACCGGAGAACCCGAAAAGAGGCGUUCCAGCCGUGAACGAACAUCUGAGCGGCUUGGAGAAGCUCCUGAAGGACGUGCCGACCUUUACCGCCCCAAACACUGGGGGAUACGGCCAGAGCGCCACCCGGUGGUUUAAAAGCACAUCCCCUCACGAAACUUGACGAGGCGCAAAGAAGAAAAGGACGAGGGGAAGACGUCGGAUUUCUUGGCUGCAGUAAAACUUAUUUUUGGAGGCACAGAGCUCGGGGAGACAUCCCGCAACAAGCGAGACCGAUGUGACCGUGAGACCGCUGUGACCGCGAGAGCGAACCGAGACAGGGCUUAAAAAAACUGAAUUAAAAUUAGAACAAAAAACCUAAAAGCAGCUGAUUUGCAACACAAGAGGAUUCUACCCCAGCGGGGCAACUCAGGACACGGAGCGGCAGACGGGAGAGGGUGGUCAGAGACUGACCUCGUCAGGCAUUAACCGGCUGGACGGCGAGGAGCGGAGCCGAGAGGUGUCUCGGACUCUGACCGCCUCUCUCACGGCAGAGACAGCCGACUCGGUCCACGCCGGCCACGUGACGCUCGCUGCAGUCUUUUCCCACGGAAGGCAUCGACUACCUCUGCAUCGCUGCACCCUGAGCUCCCUGCAUAAUGGCUCCUAGUCCUCCCCGGCCCAAAACCCCAUAAAGCUCCUCCUUGUAUUGAUCGAUCGGUCACCCUCCUGGCAUUGAGGGACUUGCGCCAAGCAUUUAGGACAGCUGGCACAUUGUUCUUCUAUGAUCCCGAAUGAACGGCGUUUACCGCGGGAUCGACGAGUCGUCGGCUGCCGUAUCCAGAACCAGAGCCGAUUGGUCGGAUUUUCUUCUUAUGGAAAACCAAAUAAAGAGAGGAAUUCUGCCGCAGAAAAUCUAUUUUGGGUAAACGUCGAGUUCUGGUCGUUCUGUACGACGCUUUCAUAUUAAAGGUGACGUUAUUUAUGUUUUUUA
Spea bombifrons (plains spadefoot toad) is the source of this 1170-nucleotide long non-coding RNA. RefSeq lists it as uncharacterized. The transcript has 5 exons. The record is from RefSeq and is a predicted model, not a curated record. NCBI's taxonomy places the organism in Eukaryota, Metazoa, Chordata, Amphibia, Anura, Pelobatidae.